GACGAACCGAGCGAACGUUGUUCGGAAUCACUGGGCUUAAAGGGCGCGUAGGCGGGUGCUCAAGUCCGGGGGUGAAAUCCUCCAGCUCAACUGGAGAACUGCCUCGGAUACUGGGUGCCUCGAGGGUGGUAGGGGUAUGUGGAACUGUCGGUGGAGCGGUGAAAUGCGUUUGAUAUCGAUAGGAACUCCGGUGGCGAAGGCGGGUCUCUGGGCCGUAACUGACGCUGAGGAGCGAAAGCCAGGGAGCGAACGGG
RNAcentral lists this ribosomal RNA (254 nucleotides) under uncultured bacterium. RNAcentral's name for it is "partial 16S ribosomal RNA". It matches the Rfam family "Bacterial small subunit ribosomal RNA", at positions 524 to 776 of the family's 1533-position model. The record is from RNAcentral.